GCACCGGCUAACUCCGUGCCAGCAGCCGCGGUAAUACGGAGGGUGCGAGCGUUAAUCGGAAUUACUGGGCGUAAAGCGCAUGCAGGUGGUUUGUUUAAGUCAGAUGUGAAAGACCCGGGGCGUCAACCUCGGAAUAGCAUUUGUAAACUAGGCAGACUAGAGUACUGUAGAGGGGGGGUAGGAAUUUCAGGUGUAGCGGUGAAAUGCGUAGAGAUCUGAAGGAAUACCGGUGGCGAAGGCGGCCCCCUCGGACAGAUACUGACACUCAGAUGACGAAAGCGGUGGGGGAGACAAACAGGAUUAGACUACCCUGGUAG
Molecule: ribosomal RNA, 317 nt
Filed under: uncultured bacterium
Lineage: Bacteria
Description: bacterial SSU rRNA
Rfam family: Bacterial small subunit ribosomal RNA
Source: RNAcentral